UUCUGAAAAGCGCAAAAGAAGAAGAAAAGCCAUGAAAAUAGCGAAGAUAACAGAUCCUGUCCAAAUUCGCCAUUUUUAUACGCAUAACAUUGAAUUAAAAGUAGAGAGGACUUUUAUAAUACUUAGUAAUUUUGGUAAAUUCAAGAUGGUGACGUCCUAGUCCGAGUUAGACAACACAACAACAGGACAACAGCCGAUGGAAAUGAAAUGUGGGUCACAAAAGGAGCCUAAAGGGACGAAGGCUGCUAAGUUGUUGCCAUCUGGUGUCUAUGCAAAUUAAGAUGAAAGAGGAAGCCAGUGAACAAGAAUUAGAAAACCUAAAGACUUUCCUGUCUCAGAAGAGGCUCUGGCUCCACCAGAUCACCAACCAGUUCUGAGGAUGAACCUCCACAUCGUCUUCCUGGUGGAAGGCUCUUUGUUUUUUUACACUGAGCAGCUGGCCACAUUUUUAACAGCAAAAACUGGGCCCUGUGAUGGACUGGUGACCUGUCCAGGGUGAACCCCGCCUCUCAUCUGAUGACUGCUAGAGACGGGCACCACCAGCCCCCCUCACCACCAUUCAAGGAUCAACGUGUUCAGAUCAUGGACGGAAAGAUUUUAAGGCAAAGAAGUCACCCAGAAAUGUUUUUCCACCCCAGGCAUCCGGUCCCAAUCAUUACCAGUUCUGAUGAUGCCACAUACAUAGCGAGUCCACAACGUCUAAAAAUUGUUUCUGUAAAGUGCAGUGGUCCAGUGAAUGGGAAUGUUCUGCUGAUCCUCACUGUUCUUAGGAAGGAGAAAUGUCAGUUUGUCUGCAGUAAUACUGGAAUACUGUGACAUUAAAUUAAAACAAUACUCCUUGGUGAAACAUUUUCUCUAAAGGGUAUCUAUUUUUUAUUGUGCUAAUUUUCAUAAGCAUAUUGUCUGUAAACUUUGAAUAUAUUGACAAUUUGUACAAUUCUGGGAUAGUAUAUUGUCAAUGUACUCUUGAAAAAUGUGGGUAAAACUUUAUUUGACGGGGUGUGAAUAAGACUGACAUGAUACUGUCAUAAACACAACACCUGUUAGGAACAUACUAACAGGUGUCAUGAAGUGUCAUUCAGUAAAUAAUGACACUUUUAAUAAAAAAUUGCUUUAAAAGUUGGAUGACAGGUGUUAUGUCAGUCUUA
This is a long non-coding RNA of Xiphophorus couchianus (Monterrey platyfish), 1148 nucleotides long. RefSeq lists it as uncharacterized. The record is from RefSeq and is a predicted model, not a curated record. The transcript has 5 exons. Lineage: Eukaryota; Metazoa; Chordata; Actinopteri; Cyprinodontiformes; Poeciliidae.